RNAcentral lists this transfer RNA (66 nucleotides) under Trioza erytreae. Its description in RNAcentral is "tRNA-Pro". Lineage: Eukaryota; Metazoa; Arthropoda; Insecta; Hemiptera; Triozidae. The record is from RNAcentral.
UCAGCUAGUAGUUUAACUUUAAAAUAUUAGUUUUGGAGACUAAAGUUAUUAUAAUUAUUUAUGCUG